CUAGUAAAUUUUGGCGGAAGAAGAAGUGUCCGCCUUCUCAGCUCCAUCUCAUAUUCCGAAUCAGAAGAGUCUUCUUCUUCAGAACUAGAUGCUGCAGAGUUAGAUCCCCCUUCUGCCGAUGAUGCGUCAGUCUCAUAUUCUGAAGCAGAGUUAUCAAUUGUUUGGACUGGGUUAAUGUUUUGGAAAUUAGAAGACGUUUUGGUUUCAGAUAUUCCUUCUUUCUCGAAUACUGGAGUAAUAACAUGUCUUGAUGAAGAAAUCGAGUUUUCUUGAUCAUGUGAAUCGGAAACUUCUUCAUAAUCACUUUCAGAAGAAGACUCACUUUCCAGCCCUUCCAAUCUACCAGAGCGAUAUCUUGAAAUAGGUUUAUGGGGUAUCAACGGUGUAUCUAUUGGCAUCUUGACAAACGCUUUUUAUUAAAUUGGUUGGCAAAUUUCAAUCAACCGGUAAAACAAUAUAAAUAUGAAUUGGAAAUUAUAUAUCUAUUAUCUACCACCCAAGAUAAAACUGUAUAUCUGAUAUAAUAGAUUGUAUGUAUGCAAUUUGUGGUACGGUGCCACUUACAAAGAGGUUUCGGGGCACUUACCAAUGCGAGAACAAAUAUCACAAGCACACAUUCUAGUCAAAUGAACGAGAAUCCUGGCAUAAUUUAUAUUUAGCUGAAAGUUUGUAAAAUUGAAUUGCCUUUUGUAAAAUACAUCGUUUCAGUUUAUGGUCAAUGUAAUGUAUUUCCAAAAACAACCGUUGUCAACCCUUUGAGACCUUCAUAAAAAUUAUUUAGAUGCUACAUACAAUAUAUCCUUUGAAAAUACCCUCCUAUAAUUAGUAAAAAUGAUGUACUUUUCAAGAUCCUAAAAUUCGUUGAAGUGGUUUUAAAAAAUAUAGAGUUCUUGACUUGAAAUCUGUCAGCAUCUCACUUUUUCAUACCAAAAUAACUUUGAAGAAAUAAA
Schizosaccharomyces pombe (fission yeast) is the source of this 950-nucleotide non-coding RNA. The record is from the annotation of a GenBank genome assembly. NCBI's taxonomy places the organism in Eukaryota, Fungi, Ascomycota, Schizosaccharomycetes, Schizosaccharomycetales, Schizosaccharomycetaceae.